UACGUAGGGUGCGAGCGUUGUCCGGAAUUAUUGGGCGUAAAGAGCUUGUAGGCGGUUUGUCGCGUCUGCUGUGAAAUCUCAAGGCUCAACCUUGAGCUUGCAGUGGGUACGGGCAGACUAGAGUGUGGUAGGGGAGACUGGAAUUCCCGGUGUAGCGGUGAAAUGCGCAGAUAUCGGGAGGAACACCGGUGGCGAAGGCGGUUCUCUGGGCCUUACCUGACGCUGAGGAGCGAAAGCGUGGGGAGCGAACAGG
Molecule: ribosomal RNA, 253 nt
Filed under: uncultured bacterium
Lineage: Bacteria
Description: partial 16S ribosomal RNA
Rfam family: Bacterial small subunit ribosomal RNA
Source: RNAcentral